This 284-nucleotide long non-coding RNA is filed under the name Elaeis guineensis (African oil palm). RNAcentral describes it as "long non-coding RNA (EGUI_LNC048343)". The record is from RNAcentral. Lineage: Eukaryota; Viridiplantae; Streptophyta; Magnoliopsida; Arecales; Arecaceae.
UCAAGGUGACCUAAGAUUUAACUGUCAAUCUUAGAAUAGUCAACCAUAUUAUAUUUCAAUCUUUCAAAUCUAUCAUGUGGAUUAUCUUGAUCAAGAUUUUACUAAAUUGAAAUACACUGAUACAUUAACUCCUACUUAUUCAGAGGGAUUAAUCCCGUCUUGACUCACAUACCAACUUGAUAAGUAUUUGAUUACAUCCAAAAAUCUUUCAUCACUGAAUUAAAAAUUUAGAUAGUCUGAUACUAAAGUACAAUGAGUUGUUCGCAAGUCACCAUGAUGAUCUC